GCCUGGGUGGCUCAUUCGGUUGGGCAUCUGAUUUCGGCUCAGGUCAUGAUCUCACGGUUCGUGGGUUCGAGCCCCACAUUGGGCU
This 85-nucleotide transfer RNA is filed under the name Felis catus (domestic cat). It matches the Rfam family "tRNA". From Rfam's summary of the family: Transfer RNA (tRNA) molecules are approximately 80 nucleotides in length. Their secondary structure includes four short double-helical elements and three loops (D, anti-codon, and T loops). The record is from Rfam by way of RNAcentral. Lineage: Eukaryota; Metazoa; Chordata; Mammalia; Carnivora; Felidae.